GAUGAACGCUGGCGGCGUGCCUAAUACAUGCAAGUCGAGCGAACAGAUGAGGAGCUUGCUCCUCUGACGUUAGCGGCGGACGGGUGAGUAACACGUGGAUAACCUACCUAUAAGACUGGGAUAACUUCGGGAAACCGGAGCUAAUACCGGAUAAUAUAUUGAACCGCAUGGUUCAAUAGUGAAAGACGGUUUUGCUGUCACUUAUAGAUGGAUCCGCGCCGCAUUAGCUAGUUGGUAAGGUAACGGCUUACCAAGGCAACGAUGCGUAGCCGACCUGACAGGGUGAUAGGCCACACUGGAACUGAGACACGGUCCAGACUCCUACGGGAGGCAGCAGUAGGGAAUCUUCCGCAAUGGGCGAAAGCCUGACGGAGCAACGCCGCGUGAGUGAUGAAGGUCUUCGGAGCGUAAAACUCUGUUAUUAGGGAAGAACAAAUGUGUAAGUAACUAUGCACGUCUUGACGGUACCUAAUCAGAAAGCCACGGCUAACUACGUG
RNAcentral lists this ribosomal RNA (497 nucleotides) under uncultured bacterium. Its description in RNAcentral is "partial 16S ribosomal RNA". It matches the Rfam family "Bacterial small subunit ribosomal RNA", at positions 28 to 507 of the family's 1533-position model. The record is from RNAcentral.